This 1972-nucleotide ribosomal RNA is filed under the name human oral metagenome. RNAcentral's name for it is "bacterial LSU rRNA". It matches the Rfam family "Bacterial large subunit ribosomal RNA", at positions 3 to 1980 of the family's 2925-position model. The record is from RNAcentral.
UUAAGUAAGAAAGGGCGUACGGCGGAUGCCUGGGCCAUAUCAGCCGACGAAGGACGCGAUAAGCUGCGAAAAGCUGCGGGGAGGUGCAAGUAACCGGAGAGCCGCAGAUAUCCGAAUGGGGAAACCCGGCAGUAGGAGUACUGUCACCUCUCGGAAGAGAGGAGGGCACCCGGUGAACUGAAACAUCUAAGUAGCCGGAGGAAAAGGAAUCAACAGAGAUGCCCCCAGUAGCGGCGAGCGAAAAGGGCGGAGCCCAAACCGGGGCGGGAAACCGCGCCGGGGUAGAGGACUACCGAAAGACAGCAGGAUGAAGUCGAAGCAGGUGGGAACCUGCGCCGCAGACGGUGAGAGCCCGGUAGACGUAAAGAGAGCUGAGGGGUAGGAUCCGGAGUACCACGGGGCACGAGGAACCUUGUGGGAAGCAGGGGGGACCACCCUCCAAGGCGAAAUACUGAUAUGGACCGAUAGCGCAAAGUACCGUGAGGGAACGGUGAAAAGAACCCCGGGAGGGGAAUGAAAGAGAACCUGAAACCGUAUGUCUACAAGCAGUCGAAGCACGAUGCAGGUGCGACGGCGUGCCUAUUGAAGAAUGAACCGGCGAGUUAUUUUUUUCGGCGAGGUUAAGCGGCAGACGCGGAGCCGAAGCGAAAGCGAGUCUGAAGAGGGCGCGAAGUCGAAAGGAAUAGACCCGAAACCACAGUGAUCUAUCCAUGCCCAGGUUGAAGCACAGGUAAAAAUGUGUGGAGGACCGAACCAGUGAGCGUUGAAAAGCUUUUGGAUGAGGUGUGGAUAGGGGUGAAAUGCCAAUCGAACGUGGAGAUAGCUGGUUCUCCCCGAAAUAGCUUUAGGGCUAGCCUCAUGAAAAGAGUACAGGCGGUAGAGCACUGAACAGGGAAGGGGCCGAGCGGUUACCGAACCUAAUCAAACUACGAAUGGCUGUACUUAUGCAUGGGAGUCAGACUGCGAGUGAUAAGACCCGUAGUCAAGAGGGAAACAGCCCAGACCAACAGCUAAGGUCCCGAAUGCCGUACUAAGUGGCAAAGGAGGUGGCGUUUCGAAAACAACCAGGAUGUUGGCUCAGAAGCAGCCAUCAUUAAAAGAGUGCGUAAUAGCUCACUGGUCGAGAGACGCGGCGCCGAAGAUGACCGGGGCUGAAGUACGGAACCGAAGCUUUGGCAUGUAUGGAGACAUACAUGGGUAGGGGAGCGUUCCUGCGUGGGAGAAGCCUGACCGGAAGGACAGGUGGACAGGCAGGAAGCGAGAAUGCCGGUAUGAGUAGCGAAAAGAAAGGUGGGAAUCCUUUCCACCGAAAGCCUAAGGGUUCCUGGGCAACGAUCGUCGACCCAGGGUAAGUCGGGGCCUAAUCCGAGGCGCAGACGCAUAGGAGAUGGACAACAGGUUGAAAUUCCUGUACCGACACCGUCCGAUAGAGCGAGGGAGUGACACAAGAAGGAACGUUCGCAUGCGAAUGGAAGAGCAUGUCCAAGCCGGUAGGUGGCGUAUCAGGCAAAUCCGGUACGCCGAAAGCCGAGAGGUGAUGGGGAGGCUGUAGAGAUACAGAGGAAGGAACGGGGACUCAAUUGUCAAGAAAAGCUUCUAGCGAGGACGGUGGCGCCCGUACCGAAACCGACACAGGUAGGCAGGACGAGAAUUCUAAGGUGCGCGGGAAACCCCUCGUUAAGGAACUCGGCAAAAUGUAUCCGUAACUUCGGGAAAAGGAUAACCCAGAGUAGGUGAAGGGCAGAAACGGCCGGAGCCGAAAUGGGUGGCACAAGAGAGGCCCAAGCGACUGUUUAGCACAAACACAGGCGUCUGCGAAAGAGAAAUCUGAAGUAUAGAUGCUGACACCUGCCCGGUGCUGGAAGGUUAAGAGGACGUGUGAGCCGCAAGGCGAAGCAGAGAAUUGAAGCCCCAGUAAACGGCGGCCGUAACUAUAACGGUCCUAAGGUAGCGAAAUUCCUUGUCGGGUAAG